AACAAUCUUGAAAAAAAAAAAAGGCCUAUUGUGCAUAUUAAAAACCAUGAUUUUUAUAAAUGUGAUCUCCCUUAGUUUCUGAACUACUGCUGUGGACAUUUUUGGUGAUAUAUUGUCGUACUCUACUGAGUGCAUAAAUGAUUACUUGCAGCAACUAUCUGAAGAAAAUUUUUUCACAAAUUAACAUAGUGGGGUAUGCAAGUUUAUUCAUUGUUAUUGGAUAUCUUCACUGCAGAAGGUGGUUGAGACAUCCACUUUGAGUCUUUUUUUCUCAAAGAAAUAUCUUUCUAAAAUUUUAACUUUUAAGUGCUGCUAAAUCCCAAUAUGCAUCUGUUAGCAUGAAUUUCCUUACAGGCUUUUAUGCUAUACUAAGAACUGGU
This 380-nucleotide unclassified non-coding RNA is filed under the name Hevea brasiliensis (rubber tree). Lineage: Eukaryota; Viridiplantae; Streptophyta; Magnoliopsida; Malpighiales; Euphorbiaceae. The record is from RNAcentral.